CUUGGGAUCUUCAGCUCGUGUGCAGCAUAGAGGCAUCCAAUUGCAGUGAAACUUGAUUUCGUGGGUUGUGGACUUAAGGGGGAGUGUGUUGAACCAUUCCAACAGCAAUUUAAUUAGAUCCGAAUGUCUUGGAAGCUAUAUUUUUGAAGUUGGAUUUGGUUUUCCAUCAUCCCCCACUAGUUUAGAAGGGAUUCCCCACCUGAAUACAGACCUCAAGAUCUUUGUAAAGAGCUAAUUCUUGGAGGUGUUUUUCCCUCACUUGUAAAAGAUGCAGGUUCUCGGCAUCCAAAAGUUGGGUCCGAAUCCUUGUGACGGCUUUUUGGUGAUUGAUUUGAGCUCAAUUUUGGUAAGGAAGCUGGGGAAUUAUUCUCUAACCUUUUGAGGUUGAAGUUGCCAGGCUACUGUUCUGGGCUCUGCAUCUGGGCACCCAUAACUCUCGACUAGAGGGCCCGAAUCCUGUGGUCUUGGGUAUUGACUGCGAUUUUGAGUUGGGAGUGAUCCUUAAGCUCUCCUAUCGACUUCUUGCCAUCGUUGGACUCAUGUUUAAGGUGGGUUAAUGUCGACUGAAUACUUCGGAA
This is a long non-coding RNA of Ananas comosus (pineapple), 578 nucleotides long. RefSeq lists it as uncharacterized. The record is from RefSeq and is a predicted model, not a curated record. The transcript has 5 exons. NCBI's taxonomy places the organism in Eukaryota, Viridiplantae, Streptophyta, Magnoliopsida, Poales, Bromeliaceae.